RNAcentral lists this transfer RNA (86 nucleotides) under Botrimarina hoheduenensis. RNAcentral's name for it is "Planctomycetes bacterium Pla111 tRNA-Ser". It matches the Rfam family "tRNA". Rfam says of the family: Transfer RNA (tRNA) molecules are approximately 80 nucleotides in length. Their secondary structure includes four short double-helical elements and three loops (D, anti-codon, and T loops). Further hydrogen bonds mediate the characteristic L-shaped molecular structure. tRNAs have two regions of fundamental functional importance: the anti-codon, which is responsible for specific mRNA codon recognition, and the 3' end, to which the tRNAs corresponding amino acid is attached (by aminoacyl-tRNA synthetases). tRNAs cope with the degeneracy of the genetic code in two manners: having more than one tRNA (with a specific anti-codon) for a particular amino acid; and 'wobble' base-pairing, i.e. permitting non-standard base-pairing at the 3rd anti-codon position. Lineage: Bacteria; Pseudomonadati; Planctomycetota; Planctomycetia; Pirellulales; Lacipirellulaceae. The record is from RNAcentral.
GGUCGGGUGGCAGAGUGGUCGAAUGCACCGGUCUUGAAAACCGGCGAUGGGAAACCAUCCGUGGGUUCGAAUCCCACCCCGACCGC